RNAcentral lists this ribosomal RNA (460 nucleotides) under uncultured bacterium. RNAcentral's name for it is "partial 16S ribosomal RNA". It matches the Rfam family "Bacterial small subunit ribosomal RNA", at positions 338 to 795 of the family's 1533-position model. The record is from RNAcentral.
CCUACGGGCGGCAGCAGUGGGGAAUAUUGGGCAAUGGGCGCAAGCCUGACCCAGCCAAGUAGCGUGAGGGAAGACGGCCCUACGGGUUGUAAACCUCUUUUGCCGGGGAGUAACGGGCGCCACGUGUGGCGCCACUGAGAGUACCCGGAGAAAAAGCAUCGGCUAAUCCCGUGCCAGCAGCCGCGGUAAUACGGAGGAUGCGAGCGUUAUCCGGAUUUUUUGGGUUUAAGGGGUGCGUAGGCGGGGCGUUAAGUCAGUGGUCAAAUUGAGGGGCUCAACCCCUUCCCGCCAUUGAAACUGGCGCUCUUGAGUGGAAGAGAGGUAUGCGGAAUGCGUGGUGUAGCGGUGAAAUGCAUAGAUAUCACGCAGAACCCCGAUUGCGAAGGCAGCAUGCCGGCUUCCUACUGACGCUGAAGCACGAAAGCGUGGGGAUCGAACAGGAUUAGAUACCCCAGUAGUC